Long non-coding RNA from Panicum virgatum (switchgrass), 435 nucleotides. RefSeq lists it as uncharacterized. The record is from RefSeq and is a predicted model, not a curated record. NCBI's taxonomy places the organism in Eukaryota, Viridiplantae, Streptophyta, Magnoliopsida, Poales, Poaceae. The transcript has 3 exons.
GGAUUCCAAGGAUGGAGCUGCUAAUUCAGCAACUAAGAUAGAAAAGACUAACACAAGGAAAAGGUCCCGCCCCUCACCUAGCAAGAAAAUUGCUAGAAAAUUAUUGCUUGAUAAAGACAAUGAAGAUGAAGAUGAUAACUGUGUUCAUGACACUCCCAAGCCUAGUUCCAGCACUGAUGCUUAGAAGGAAGACGCAGAUCAGCUCAUUUUGUGUUCUCACAGUUGCAGCCAUACCUAGGGCUACAUCCGCUGAAUUGCUACUACAUGCACUAUAUUCAGCUCUUUUAUAACCUAAUGCGUAGCAUUAAUUAACUCUCUUUUGGAUAUUUUUAUGGCUGCAAACUAUGUUAUUUCCUCUUUAAUUAUUAGCGCUCGCUUUGGUUUGGAUUAGCAUUCUAAUCUACCUACUAAAAUGUUUGGUAGCUACUAAUGCUG